Non-coding RNA from Triticum aestivum (bread wheat), 126 nucleotides. The record is from Rfam. NCBI's taxonomy places the organism in Eukaryota, Viridiplantae, Streptophyta, Magnoliopsida, Poales, Poaceae.
CUAGUACUCCCUUCGUCCGAAAAAACUUGUCUCAACCUUUUGUCUCAAAUGAAUGUAUCUAGCACUAAUUUGAUGCUAGAUACAUCCAUUUGAGGGACAAGUUUUUUCGGACGAAGGGAGUAAUAU